RNAcentral lists this ribosomal RNA (253 nucleotides) under uncultured bacterium. RNAcentral's name for it is "partial 16S ribosomal RNA". It matches the Rfam family "Bacterial small subunit ribosomal RNA", at positions 524 to 776 of the family's 1533-position model. The record is from RNAcentral.
UACGUUGGUGGCAAGCGUUAUCCGGAAUUAUUGGGCGUAAAGCGCGCGCAGGCGGUUUCUUAAGUCUGAUGUGAAAGCCCACGGCUCAACCGUGGAGGGUCAUUGGAAACUGGGGAACUUGAGUGCAGAAGAGAAAAGCGGAAUUCCACGUGUAGCGGUGAAAUGCGUAGAGAUGUGGAGGAACACCAGUGGCGAAGGCGGCUUUUUGGUCUGUAACUGACGCUGAGGCGCGAAAGCGUGGGGAGCAAACAGG